ACAUGAUUAUAUUUAUGAAUUUUGUAAUUUCUUUUUAAUUGCACAUUAAAAAAAUAAAAAAAAGUUUAGGUAUAUCAAAAUACCUCUCAAACUAUGAUGAAGGUGGCGAAAGUGACAAUGCCGGUGUCAAUGAUAACGAUGUGCUACGAUGUAUUGGUGCUAGCGAUGGGGACAAAUGAGAAAAGAUAUUAUUAAAAAAAUAUUUAAGAAAAAUAUAGGUGAAAAUAAAAAAGAUAUUACUAAAAAAAUAUAUAUCUCAAAAAAUAUAUUUUGUGUGUGAAUAAAUAUUAUGAUGAGAUAAGAUUGGAUAGUGUAGAUAUUAUAUGCAAAUAUAUUCUGUGCGUAAAUAAAUAUUAUGAUGAGAUAAGAUUGGAUAGUGUAGAUAUUAUAUGCAAAGAUAUGUAGAUAUUAUAUGCGAGUGCAUUAAUAUAUGCUCUAUAUUUGAGAAACACGUAAAAUAUUUUGGCGGGUAUUAUUUUUAAGUAUUUUACUAAAAAAAUUUAAAAAUUUAAAAUUAUAUUUAAUUAACAACUUAGUUUUGCUUAGGUGGUAUUAAAUCUUUCUAGCAAUAUUACAUGCGAGUGCAUUAAUAUAUACUCUGUAUCUGAAAAACGCGUAAAAUAUUUUGACGGGUAUUAUUUUUGAAUAUUUUACUAAAAAAAUUAAAAUUUUAAAAUUAUACUUAAUUAACAAUUUAGUUUUGGUUAAAUGGGUAUUAAAUCUUUCUAACAAUAUUCUACGUAAUUACGUGUGAGAAAAAAAAAUAUUUAAGAAACACUUAAAUAGGAGAUAACCGAUAUUUUAAGUUAUAGCGGAAAUUACGUUUGAGAAAACGCGUAGAUAUUUAUAAAACGCGUAAAUAGGAGAUAAUGGAUAUUGUUGGUAUUUUUUUGAAUAUUUUAUUAUUUUAAGUUAUGGCGGAAAUUACAUUUGAGAAAACGCGUAGAUAUUUAUAAAACGUGUAGAUAUGGGAUAACGGAUAUUGAAGGUAUUUUUGUCAAGAAAAGUGACAGAUACUUUUAUUUUUAAUCGUUUAAUGAGAUCCAAUGGUAAAAAUUUAAAAUCUAUAUUUGAGAAUAAAAUAUUAUUUGCAAAAUUAUUUGAAACGAAUGGUUGAAAAUUAUUGGAUAUGAAAUAUUAGUAGAAAAGAUAGAGGUAUUUUUGGAAAGCGGAAAAGAUUUAAAACUCAUACUUUUAUAAGUAGUAUAGACUAGUGAGUUAGCUAGCUAGGAAGGGAUUGCAAAUAGUUACAAAAAAAAAAAAAUAAAUAAAUAAAUAAAAAAUAAAAAAUUCAACCUAGUGAUGUCGUGUGAUCAUUCUUAUUAAGUAUGUGUGGACAUGAAUCAAGGUGGUAUAUAUAGUCUUUUCAUAGAUUGGACAAAUUUGUUCUCUUAAUUAGGACUAUUAUUUAGGCUGUGGCUAUUAUACUCAUAUGAGUAUAGAGCCCUUUAUAUUCAUAACUUUUUGACCGUUUAGAUAAAAAAUGUGCGAUUAGGAUGAGAGUGGUUAUGGUUAGGUUGAUAGUGGGCCCCCUAGGGUUGAGUGGGUGGUUGGUUGAAUAGUAUAAUCUAACGGGUGAAAAUGAUUAAAGAGUAGAUCAAACGGCCAAAAACUUAUCAGUACAAUAAGUUCUAUACUCAUAAAAGUAUAGUAGUCAGACUCCUAUUAUAUAUAUAUAUAUAU
This 1683-nucleotide long non-coding RNA is filed under the name Ananas comosus (pineapple). RNAcentral describes it as "long non-coding RNA (ACOM_LNC025515)". Lineage: Eukaryota; Viridiplantae; Streptophyta; Magnoliopsida; Poales; Bromeliaceae. The record is from RNAcentral.